GAGUUGCUCUGCUAGGAUAUUCUUCUCCUCUAUGAGCUGGACAGAGGGAACAGUUUGAAAUAACUUAUCCAGCCUUAUUAGCUACGAGACGAUGCGGUUGGGGAAGCCCUGUCUGCAGAUACGAAUGCCCUCUAGGACUCCAUUACACCUCAGCUGGUCCAGAACCAGGUGGCACCAAAGGCUGUCUCGUUCAUUCCUGCCACCUGGUCCAGGCCCACGAUGCGGUCGACUGGUGGGGAGAUGGGGAGAACUGGUUAGAGUGGGAA
Micropterus salmoides (largemouth bass) is the source of this 266-nucleotide long non-coding RNA. RefSeq lists it as uncharacterized. NCBI's taxonomy places the organism in Eukaryota, Metazoa, Chordata, Actinopteri, Centrarchiformes, Centrarchidae. The record is from RefSeq and is a predicted model, not a curated record. The transcript has 3 exons.